GUUUGAUAUUUGUUGAGUGAUAAAGAGAGUUCCAGUGCAAUUUACAGAAAACACACCCUUUAUGUUUACCACAGAUUAUGGAAAUGUUCAUGACGCAUUGAAUACUUAUUAAAACAAAUGAUAACAGCGAAUUGAUUAUGGAGACACAGCCGUUGAAAGUGCCUGAAACAUCUCCACCGCCAUAUACUAAUUCUGUUGCAACAGCUCCAGCAGUGAAUUCAUCACAAUGGCAACCACCUCCCGGAUACUAUCCUAACAUUGAUUCUGGUUAUCAACCUGGCUAUCAAGGAAGCCAUGUUCCAUCAUAUGGCUCUACACAUUCCACUGCAAUCAUUGUUCCAGAAAUUAUUGUAGUUGGCGGUUGUCCAGCAUGUAGAAUAGGAAUAAUGGAAGAUGAUUAUACAUGUCUUGGCUUGUUUUGUGCGAUUUUUUUCUUUCCUCUCGGAAUUAUCUGUUGUCUGCUAUUAAGGACAAAACGCUGUUCAAAUUGUGGAGCUUAUUUUGAUUAAUUAAAAUACAUGCUAAUUGUCAAAUAAAACUAUUGGAAAUUCUGUAAUCUACUGACUAAUUGAAUCAUCGCAUGGUCUCAAAGCCCUAAAAGCUGGCUAAAAUAUGAAAGUAUUUUUCAAUUUAGUUACGAAAUUUAAUAUCUAUAAUGGUUUUCGAGAUCACUGAUUAUCGACUCGAAAUCAAAUUAUAAAGGAGGAAAUGGAUCUAUUUAAUGUAGCCAACGUAUG
This 737-nucleotide unclassified non-coding RNA is filed under the name Acromyrmex echinatior (Panamanian leafcutter ant). RNAcentral describes it as "brain protein I3, transcript variant X2". The record is from RNAcentral. Lineage: Eukaryota; Metazoa; Arthropoda; Insecta; Hymenoptera; Formicidae.